This is a non-coding RNA of Arabidopsis thaliana (thale cress), 952 nucleotides long. The record is from RefSeq. NCBI's taxonomy places the organism in Eukaryota, Viridiplantae, Streptophyta, Magnoliopsida, Brassicales, Brassicaceae.
AUUUUCCAAAUAUCAGCAAAAUCAGACUUUAAAAUUUUUGAAAAUCUGUCUCUCUCUCUCUUAUCGCUCUAGAAUUUUUAAGAGAGAAAGAUACUUUUUUAAUCGAUCUUGCCGUCAGGAUUUGUUUAAAUUUGGCUUCCGUCUGACAUCCAUCAGCUUCUACAAUAGUGGUUGGUCAGCUUCCGUCUAGCAUCGUCUAGCUUGUUUAGUAAUGAUGGCUAGCUUCUGUUAUCCACCGGAGUAGUCCGGUUUUGCUUCCCGUUCUCGAGUUUUCUUUUUCUACUCUUUGUUUUUAUCACAGCUACCUUGUGUCGUGACGUGUUUAGUUUCAGUAAUUCCGUGAUCUAUGAGACGACGGUGUCAAUUCGAUGGCCUUGUUUCGUUUGAUGCGGAUUCCCUUUUGUUAAGUAAGCGGUCUACAACAAGAAUCAACGUUGAUUGCAACUAAGGACUAAGGUAAUGAAAAGGAAGCUUUGUUUUCAGCAAAUUAUGGAUUGCCUAUAGCUGUCUUUACAUGUAUUGGUACUUCGAUUCGAGCAAAUCUCUAUGGAUCAAUCAGAUCUUCCUCCUCUGUUACCUGUUAUUCGUCAGAUCUUUCUUUGUUUGUUGAUUUGACAUGCGGAUGAGGAUGAGACUUCUGUUUUUGUAUCCCUUUCCACUGUAUUAUGCAGUAUCCGGUGAGAAUCAAUAAAAAUCGAUGUUCGCUCAGUUUUUCCGGCGUCGAUUGCAUUCACCGGAUUCGGAGUCGUCGAUGGUAAAGGAUGACGAAUUAUUUCAGAGUUUCUCUUGUGACACGACUUGCUUCACGUGUGUCUAUUUUUGACACGUGUAAUGGCCAUAAAUUUAUCCUUGUUUCCUUGGUGUGAUAUCAUUUGGGCUUUUUAGUGGGCUUGUAAACUUGCAUAUAGAUAUACAAAUUUGAAUAAAAUUUAGUUCACUUGUGAAAAAAAAA